CGAGUGGCAAACGGGUGAGUAACGCGUAAGCAACCUGCCCUUCAGAUGGGGACAACAGCUGGAAACGGCUGCUAAUACCGAAUACGUUCUCUUUAUCGCAUGGGUAGAGGGAAGAAAGGGAGGCUCUUCGGAGCUUUCGCUGGAGGAGGGGCUUGCGUCUGAUUAGCUAGUUGGAGGGGUAACGGCCCACCAAGGCGACGAUCAGUAGCCGGUCUGAGAGGAUGAACGGCCACAUUGGGACUGAGACACGGCCCAGACUCCUACGGGAGGCAGCAGUGGGGAAUCUUCCGCAAUGGGCGAAAGCCUGACGGAGCAACGCCGCGUGAGUGAAGAAGGCCUUCGGGUCGUAAAGCUCUGUUGUCGGGGACGAAUGUAGUAACCAUCAACAACCGUAACUAAUGACGGUACCUGACGAGGAAGCCACGGCUAACUACGUG
RNAcentral lists this ribosomal RNA (437 nucleotides) under uncultured bacterium. RNAcentral describes it as "bacterial SSU rRNA". It matches the Rfam family "Bacterial small subunit ribosomal RNA", at positions 92 to 507 of the family's 1533-position model. The record is from RNAcentral.